AGGGGAAUAGCUCAGUGGUAGAGUGCUUGCCUGGCAUGCACAGGGUGCUGGGUUCAACCCCCACUGCUUCCA
Molecule: transfer RNA, 72 nt
Filed under: Camelus bactrianus (Bactrian camel)
Lineage: Eukaryota; Metazoa; Chordata; Mammalia; Artiodactyla; Camelidae
Also listed under: 2 other names
Rfam family: tRNA
About the family: Transfer RNA (tRNA) molecules are approximately 80 nucleotides in length.
Source: Rfam by way of RNAcentral